Molecule: transfer RNA, 75 nt
Filed under: Myxococcales bacterium
Lineage: Bacteria; Pseudomonadati; Myxococcota; Myxococcia; Myxococcales
Description: tRNA-Glu
Rfam family: tRNA
About the family: Transfer RNA (tRNA) molecules are approximately 80 nucleotides in length. Their secondary structure includes four short double-helical elements and three loops (D, anti-codon, and T loops).
Source: RNAcentral
GCCCCGUUCGUCUAGCGGUCAGGAUGCAGCCCUCUCAAGGCUGAGACAGGAGUUCAAGUCUCCUACGGGGUACCG